CUCUACAGCCAUGCCACCCUGAACAUGCUCGAUCCCUUCUGAUCUUGGAAGCUAAGCAGGGUCAGGCCUGGUUAGAACUUGGAUGGGAGACCACCUAGGAAGACCAGGUGCUAUAGGUG
Molecule: ribosomal RNA, 119 nt
Filed under: Pteropus alecto (black flying fox)
Lineage: Eukaryota; Metazoa; Chordata; Mammalia; Chiroptera; Pteropodidae
Source: RNAcentral